AAAAUUAGUAGAAUAAAUGCGAAAAAUAGAAUUUAACAGAUUAUCUUAUUACAAAUAUGAAUCCGAAGUAAAACUCCACCCAAAACUGGUGUCAUAAUUUCACGAACUGUCUAUGAAUACUACAAAUAGUGGUCUAAAUAAGGAAAUACAAAUUUGUCUCAGAAAUAGAUAAAACAGAAAAAAAGCAGAAUAGAAGGGGACGCCGAGGCCUGCGGACGCCGGCAGGACUAUCUCGGAUCUCCACUGGACUAAAGGUAGCAACCUCGAACUACGGUCUGUAUGGUCAAGUAUCGAGAUCUGCACAAAAGUGCAGAGUGUAGCAUCAGUACAACCAAUCCCAUGUAUUGGUAAGUGUCGAGUCUAACCUCGGCGAAGUAGUGACGAGGCUAGGACACGACCAACAUCAUAAACCUGUGAAGUUAAGCAAUAUCUAACAGAAUAACAAUAAUAGAAGCUAACAAAAUUUAUGGGAAGGGGUAACAUGCUAUGGGGGAUACCAGAAUAAGGAAACAUAGAAAUAACGGAAACAAAACAAUUAAGGCACUUGAACCGAUAACAUCAAAUAAUCACAGUAAAAGAAAAACAAAUGCACGGCAUCACCCUUCAUACUUUUACUCUCAAUCCUCACCAUUUAAUAAAUAAUGAAAAUGUGCACGGCAUCACCCUACGUGUUUUUUCUCUCUUCCUCACCAUAUGUAUCAAUAUAAAUGUAAAUGUGCAUGACAUCAUCCUUCGUGCUUUAUCACUCUUUCCUAACCAUAUGCAUAAGUAUGAAUGUGCACGGCAUCACCCUUCGUGCUUUAUCACUCUUUUCUCACCCAAAUAGUAGAAACAAUAACAUCCCGGCAAGGGAAUCAACAAUAGAAACAUAUACAUCCCGGCAAGGGAAUCGGCUAUAACCAAUCUCAUUCCAACAGUUAACUCACAAAAUGAAUCUCAACUUGAGCUAAUACUCAACAAUGGUCAAAUACCCAGAAAUAUCAUAAGUGUUGUACAACAUGAAUAAUCAUCAAUUUAAGCAUGGAUAGUACACAAUAAGAAUCACAACAGUCACAGUAUAAGACUCACGGACAUGCUCGACACCAACGUAUAGAUACUCGUUACCACACCUAUACGUUGUACACAACACUAACACGUAGAAAUUAAGACACAAUACCUAUUCCCUCAAGUUAAGGUUAGGUCAAACACUUACCUCGAUUCCACGGCCACAAAUCAAGCCUCAAAUACUGCUUUCCCUCAAUAAAUGCUAAAGAACUCCAACCCAAUGCUUAAUUAUAGUUUUUCCAACAUUUUUCCCCAAAAAAAAAAAUCGACCCCAUGCCCGCUUGGUCAAAACCCAAAGUUCGGACUAAAACCCAAUUACCCAUUCACCCUAAACCCGAAUAUGCAAUUGGUUUUGGAAUCCGACCUCAAUUUGAGGUCUAAAUCCCCAAAUUUCACCCAAAAACACCCAAUUUCUCAUGAAAAUCCCUAGAUUUUGUGAUGAAAUCUUGUAAAAAGAUGAAGUAGAUUGAAAGAAACGAGUUAGAAAUUGUUUACCUAUGAUUUGGGGAAGAACUUUUCUUUGGAAAAUCGCCUAUGGGAGCUUAGGGUUUGAAAAUUUGAAAGAAUGAGUUGAAAUCCCGUCUAAGUUAUAAUUUACACACUCGCAGAUAUUGCAUUUGCGAUAACAGGUUCGCAAAUGCGAACUAGCAAAUGCUACCAAAGCAUCGCAAAUGCGAAGCUUGGCCUGAGCUGCUGACUUUGCAAAUGCGAACUAUUAUUCGUAAAUGCGGUGCCUGCUGGAGUCGCAAUUUCGACAUUAAACUUGGCAAAUGGGAAGGUCCCCCUCCCUGCCCUCUGAUCGCAAUUGUUAUGCUCGCAUUUGCGAACCAGACUUCGCAAUUGUGAAGUCUGCAGACCUGCAACACAACAGCUAAUUCUUUAAAUCUCAAAAUACUUUGUGCCCUAUCCAAAACUCACUCGAGCCCUCGGGGCUCCAAACCAAACAUGCACACAAGUCUAAAAACAUCAUAUGGACUUGAUCGUGCGAUCAAAUUGCCAAAAUAAUAUCUUAAACAACGAAUUUAGCACCAAAAUCAAUGAAAAUCUCAAGAACUCUUAAAGUUACCAUUUUCAUAACCGAGGGUCCGAAUCACGUCAUAUGAAUUCUGUUUCUUACCAAAUUUUACAUACAUAACAUAUACACCAUAUUAAACCUAUAUCGGGGCUCCGGAACUAAAAUACGGGCCUGAUACCAUCUAAUUCAAACAUUAUUCAAUUUCUAAAAUCCUUAUAUUUUCAGUUAAAUAAUUUUCUUCAAAAAAUUAUUUCUCGGGCUAGGGACCUCGGAAUUCAAUUCUGGGUAUACGCCCAAGUCUCAUAUUUUUCUACGGACCCUCUGUGACCAUCAAAUCAUGGGUUCGGAUUCGGGUCCGUUUACCUAAAAUGUUGACCGAAGUCAACUUAAAAUCAAUUUUAAAGGCAAAAUUAGUAUUUUUCUCAAAUUUUCACAUAAAAACUUUCCGAAUAUACGAUCAUAAUGCGCAUGCAAAUCGAAGUGAGAUAAAAGGAGGUUUUUAAGGUCUCAGAACACAUAUUGGACUGUUAAAACAAGAGAUGACCUUUUGGGUCAUCACAUCUACGAACACAGAAGACCGAGUAAGGAAUUCUGUUAAGCCGGGAGAAGGUGUUAGGCACUCCCGAGUUUCGUGGUUUUAGCCAGGUCGCUCAUCUAUUAAUAAUUGGCCUAAUAAUCUGAUUUAUUACAUGUUUGAAACCUAUUGUGCAUUUUUUUGCUUUCUUAACCGCUUUUAGUAUUUAUGGAAUUAUUUCUGGAAUAAGUCACGAUGUCGUACACUUGCUAUUUUGGUACACGUUGCAAAUUGCGCCACAUGAAAUGCACCCGCAAUUUACGACAUAUUUAUUUUAAUUAUUAUUCGAAAUUAUGGUCGGGUCACAUGAAAUGCACACUCGAAUUUAGAUUUAUGUAUCGUGACUCUGCCAUGGGAACCGUACUCAUAGCCACGAUGAUUUAUUUAAUUAACACACCUAAAGCAAACUACGAUAUUCAAAAAAUAUCCUUACUUUGAUAAAAUUAUGAACAUAUGACUAUAUCUUCCACAGUUAGAAUAAAAAAAAAAAGCAAAAUUACCUUUGAGGACUCAUAAAAGAUACAGCGAAAACUCAUACAUUCACAAUUAAAAAAUAUUUUCAUCUAGAAAGCACCAAAUAAACCUAAUAGCAAUCUCAUGAAACGGAAAAAAUCAAGCAAAUUUCUAGGUCCAAGUCCACCAACUAAGCACCUUAUUCUCAAAUUUCAAUUAACAUAAAGCUCUUACUUAAUGUCAAUCAUAAAACUGAAAACUUGCAGAAUCAGCAAACUUCAUCAAAUUAAUAAGGGAAGUCAGAUUAAAUUGACUGGAAACAAACUUAGAGCAGAAAAAAUUAGAACCCAAAAUAUCAAUAUAAAAAGGAAAGGAACUUACUCAUUUUUGCGAAAUGUUACAAACCCAUCAAAAGAUAACUUCAAUCCUUAAUGUUAAGCAAAACAGCAGCAACUAUUUAACAAAUUCAGUAGCCAAGUGUUGUUGGUCAAGACCUUUUCCUUUGUAUAUUUACAUUUUUAUGAGACAAAUGUUGCGGACUUCUCUUUUUCGGAGUUGCGGCCAUGAGGUCUUUUGAUUUUUUUAUGAAAGUUGUUUGGAUUUUUUGUGUAUGGUUUUAGGGAAGAUGAUCUUUUAGGAGGGAUGGAUGCUCGUUUUUUUUUUGUUGUUGUUGAAUAAGAAGAUCUGAGGGUUGCCGUUUCUUUUAGCCUUUUCUAUGGGAGGGGAUCUAGAAUUAGGUCUAGGUUUUGG
This 3836-nucleotide long non-coding RNA is filed under the name Nicotiana tabacum (common tobacco). Its description in RNAcentral is "long non-coding RNA (NTAB_LNC005054)". The record is from RNAcentral. Lineage: Eukaryota; Viridiplantae; Streptophyta; Magnoliopsida; Solanales; Solanaceae.